GCUGGGCGUGGUGGUGCACGCUUGUAGUCCCAGCUACUUGGGAAGCUGAGGUGAGAGGAUCGCCUGAACCCGGGGAGGUUGAGGUUGCAGUGAGCUGAUCCUGCCACUGCACUCCAGCCUGGGUGACAGAGUGAGACCCUGUCUCAC
Molecule: unclassified non-coding RNA, 147 nt
Organism: Macaca fascicularis (crab-eating macaque)
Lineage: Eukaryota; Metazoa; Chordata; Mammalia; Primates; Cercopithecidae
Rfam family: Metazoan signal recognition particle RNA
About the family: The signal recognition particle (SRP) is a universally conserved ribonucleoprotein.
Source: Ensembl